AGGACGAACGCUGGCGGCGUGCUUAACACAUGCAAGUCGAGCGGUAAGGCCUUUCGGGGUACACGAGCGGCGAACGGGUGAGUAACACGUGGGUGAUCUGCCCUGCACUCUGGGAUAAGCCUGGGAAACUGGGUCUAAUACCGGAUAUGACCUGCUCUCGCAUGGGGGGUGGGUGGAAAGAUUUAUCGGUGCAGGGAUGGGCCCGCGGCCUAUCAGCUUGUUGGUGGGUAAUGGCCUACCAAGGCGACGACGGGUAGCCGACCUGAGAGGGUGACCGGCCACACUGGGACUGAGACACGGCCCAGACUCCUACGGGAGCAGCAGGUGGGAAUAUGCACAAGUGGGACGAAAGCCUGAUGCAGCGACGCCGCGUGAGGAUGAAGGCCUUCGGGUU
This 394-nucleotide ribosomal RNA is filed under the name uncultured soil bacterium. RNAcentral describes it as "bacterial SSU rRNA". It matches the Rfam family "Bacterial small subunit ribosomal RNA", at positions 26 to 424 of the family's 1533-position model. The record is from RNAcentral.